RNAcentral lists this unclassified non-coding RNA (266 nucleotides) under Hevea brasiliensis (rubber tree). The record is from RNAcentral. Lineage: Eukaryota; Viridiplantae; Streptophyta; Magnoliopsida; Malpighiales; Euphorbiaceae.
ACUUACCAGACAAGACAGCGAUAGCUUCCCUUUCUCUCUCUUCUUCAUUCCUUCUCAGCUUGUAGCAAAAUCUAAAAUUUCUCCCUCUCUAUUCCCCUGUGCCUAAUUGUACCUCUAUCUUUAUUGAAUUUAGAUUAGGAUUUCUUCUCCAAUUUCUCCUCAACUCAAACGCAUGACCCUUUGAUCAUAAACAGACAUCCAUUUCACUUAUUUCAGCUUAGAAUUCGUCUAGCUGGGGAUUUUUAAGAUUUCCGGUCACUAUCAUC